Long non-coding RNA from Conger conger (European conger), 3544 nucleotides. RefSeq lists it as uncharacterized. The record is from RefSeq and is a predicted model, not a curated record. The transcript is spliced from 4 exons. NCBI's taxonomy places the organism in Eukaryota, Metazoa, Chordata, Actinopteri, Anguilliformes, Congridae.
GUGAUGUCAUGUUAGCUUGGUAACUGUCAGUUUCGUAUGUGUGGAAACCAGUAACGUUACGCGAUGGACUAAGACAUGUAUGUAAUUGGGAGACAUGUAAAAUUGUUAGCUAACGUUGCGGGGAGAACAAAAACACAAGCCUGUGCGCUAUUCUUUUCUUGCAAGACGAUUUCGGGGAAAUCACCUGGCAUUACGUCAAAAUAUUAACUGACGUUACUUUCUUGUUAAGAUUACCGGCGCGAAUUUACCUGCGAAUAUAUUGUCAGAAUUAACGUUGGAAUGAUAUGUCCAACUCUGGUUCUGGGAACAAUUAAGGAAACGAUAAUAGGCUACAAAACAUUUACUACGCAACUGGUGUUCAGCAUGUGGAGGUGCAUAUAUUUUUUCCCAGGAAGAACCUGCAUGACCGGGUCACCACCGCGAUGUUCUCGGAGAGGGACAGUCUGCUGUCCAUCACCACGCUGAGGUUCCUUGCACUGGGUGAUGGUGUAAGUGUGGUAUCCCCGAGGGAAAUGGAGAGAUCCAGAUGGGGAGAGGUAUUAGCAGGGAUGAAUAUAAUUUCAGUCUUACCUGGGUUGAGCUUUAGAUGGUGGUUGUCCAUCCAGCUCUGGAUGUCACUCAGGCAAGCAGAGAUACGGGCUGAGACCUGUGUAUCAGAUGGUGGGAACGAGAUGAAGAGUUGGGUAUCGUCCGCAUAGCAGUGGUAGGAUAGCCUAUGUGCAGUGAUCACAGGGCCAAGGGAACGAGUGUAAAGAGAAAAAAGAAGCAGGCCUAGGACUGAGCCCUGGGGAACUCCUGUGGCAAGGGGCCGAGGUGUCGAUACCGUACCAGCCCAGGCAACCUGGAAGGAGCGACCAGAGAGGUAGGACUCAAUCCAGUCCAGGGCUGUGCCACAGAUGCCCGUUGCUGACAGGGCGGACAGGAGGAUGGAGUGAUCCACAGUGUCGAAGGCAGCAGAGAGAUCUAGAAGAAUGAGGACAGAGGAGAGGGAGGCUGCUCGUGCGGCAUGGAGUGAUUCACUGACGGAGAGGAGCGCGGUCUCUGUCGAGUGGCCCGAUCUGAAGCCAGACUGAUGGGAGUCUAGCAGGUUGUUGUUUGGGAAGAAAGAAGAAAGUUGAGUAGAAGUGGCUCGUUCUAUGGUUUUACAAAGAAAAGGAAGAAGAGAUACCAGGCGGUAGUUCUGGAUGAUGGAGGGAUCCAGCGUAGUGAUGUGGGCCCUCUUGGAGGAUGCUGGAAAACAGCCAGAAGACAGGGAGGAUGUCAGUACUUGUAGAACUUUCCAUAUAUUCAUAUGCACUGCUAUUUGCCCAUUCAUACUUCUGUACUACUUUUGCCUCAUUGUGUUAGUGUAAAUGUGUUUAUCAGGGGUGUGAUUCUUCCGGAUAAAUCUGGAAAACCGGCUUUUCCGACCUGAAAAUGAGGCUCUCGUAAAUCAUGCCAAUCCGCUUUUUUUUUGGGCAUGGGUCGUAAACAUAAUGACCGCUCACCGCUGUCAACGUUUUUUGUGGCUCUGAUUCAUGUCGUCAUGUCACUCCGCAAGUAGUCCAUUCAUUUGUCAUGACGGAACUUCAUUCUGUGAAAGCAGAGCUCCACCAAAGAUUGUACAUUUGGCUCCACCUACGUAGCCUGCAAUCGUUGCAGAUGGUUAUCUGAUGUGUUCUUAGAAUUUUGGACGUGUAGGGAGAACUAUUUUUUUCUUAGCUGAAGCUGACAACGGGACAAAAUAAAUGUAAAGACAGACAUAGUGGAGUUCCUAUUUUCGUUUUGACAAGUAUAAUAAAUUCUGUAGUCUACCCCUUACAUGACCUGGCAAGUGACAUUAUUCUAAAACGCAUAUAAGAAUAACUCCCCCAACAUGGUUAAAAUACUGUCUAGAGCCAGCUGGACAAUGAGAAAAUGUCAUAGCAUGAUCAGAAUAGCCUGACCUGACAAGACAACGGAGAAAAUAUUUGUAUUCAAAAUUUGGGGUAGGCUAAUGGUUUGGAUGACAUUAUUGGAUAUUUUUGUGCAGUAAUGUGAUGUACGUGACACCAAAACGCAAAGUAAACAAGACAGAAAAAGAAAGUUAACCGUACCCAACAAUCUACUGAUGUGAACUGUGAACACCUUCAGUUGACAAGACGAUGGACACUGAUGAUUCAGCAUUCUUUGAGUCAUGGCCAAACUUGCUCUGAACAGCCCAGAUGUAAAAUACAUUGAUGAGGGGGUGAAGAAUCGUUUUAAAUGGAGCUGGUUGCAGGAGACUGUCCAAUGAGUUGUUUCAGCAAAAUUAGGGAAGCAGACAGGGUAAUUUGCGACAGUUGCAAUCAACAUAACAUAAAUUACGAAACAAGUGGGAAGAAUGCCCUGAAGAGGCAUGUGGAGCAUUCAAAGCAUAUAAAGGCUUGGAAGAUGCAACAGCAGAACAUGCGCGUCAUCAUGAAGGCCAAAACAACAAGCCUGAAUGUGGAGACCUAUGAGGCCUAUGAAGUUGUAAAGUACCAGCUGAAGCAAUUCACCACUACUCCAGACCGUCAAAGGACAGCCCCAUCAACUCGUCACUUGUACGGAAUGUCAAACUCUCAAGCCGGAGGUACAGGGCAGAGAACAAACGGAGAGCAGAACUUCAUGCUCCCAAUCCAGCCAGAAAGAAGGCAGCCAAAGACUCGAUAGUGGCAGCAGCUUUCAAUGCCAGAAAGACUUUUCAAAAGCGGCGGCUGCAGGCAUUGAAAAAGCUUGCUGCCAAGAAACAGAAACAGUAGUUUCCAAUGUGCACUGUGUGUGUGUGUGUGUGUGUGUGUGUGUGUGCAUGUCACCGCAUCAUGGUAGGUGCUCCGUAUAUUUUCCUGCUUUUUUUUGUCCUUUGCCAAUCACACCUAUGGUUUAUACAGUUCUUUACUUUAAUAAGCUAUACCUUCACCUCAGGUACAUAUUUUGCAUGCUCUAUUUGACAAUAUACACGCAGUGAGCACUUUAAUAGGUAUUUAUUAGACGUAUUAGGUCUUUGGCUGCUGUAGCCAAUCCACUUAGAGGUUUGACACAUUGUGUGUUCAGAGAUCUGUUCACUGAUGUAAUGUAUGGUUAUUUGCAUUACUGUCACCUUCCUGUCAGCUUAACCUUAACCAACCUUCCGUCCGCAGAACUGCCGAUCACUGGAUGUUUUUUUGUUUUUCGCACCAUUCUGAGUAAACUCAGGAGACUGUUGUGCAUGAAAAUCCCAGGAGAUCAGCAGUUAAAGAAAUACUCGUACCUGCCCGUCUGGUACCAAGAAACAUGCCACAGUCAAAAUCACUGAGAUCACUUUUUUUUUUUUUGUCAAAUUUUGAUGGUUGAUAUGAACAUUACUGGAAGCUCCUGACCCGUAUCUGCAUGAUUGUAUGCAUUGCACUGCUGCCACACGAGUGGGUGAUUAGAUAAUUGCAUGAGUAGGUAUGCAGGUGCUCCUAAUAAAGUUCUCAAUGAGUGGUUAUUUUGGCAAUUGUUGUUUGUAUUUGUGUGCAUGGAUAGUAGACAAGUUGUAAAUAUUGUUCUCCUUCAGACACUUUUACCCAAAAUCCAACCAGCU